ACAGGAUGUUGUUUAUCAGUAAAUGAUCAUCUCAUGGUGUUUGAAGUCUACAGUCAUACACAAGGGUCGAUUGCCUUCAUCAGAAGAUUUUUGGCUUAAGUUCAGGAGAGAAAUAUUGCAUGCGAUCCAUUUUUCUAUACAUUAUGGUUUCAUUAAUUAUUUUUAUGACGUCCCAGCACUUGUUAAUGAUUUUAUGGGAUGCCUUUUUUUCGGUUAGCCCCAUGGAAAAGGGAAUGUUUUGGAUAUAAAUCAAUAAAACACACAAGGUAUUGGCUAUUGCUUUGCCUUUCACAUGUACCA
This 300-nucleotide unclassified non-coding RNA is filed under the name Hevea brasiliensis (rubber tree). Lineage: Eukaryota; Viridiplantae; Streptophyta; Magnoliopsida; Malpighiales; Euphorbiaceae. The record is from RNAcentral.